Molecule: ribosomal RNA, 432 nt
Filed under: uncultured bacterium
Lineage: Bacteria
Description: partial 16S ribosomal RNA
Rfam family: Bacterial small subunit ribosomal RNA
Source: RNAcentral
CCUACGGGGGGCAGCAGUAAGGAAUAUUGGUCAAUGGACGCAAGUCUGAACCAGCCAUGCCGCGUGGAGGAUGAAGGCCCUUGGGUUGUAAACUUCUUUUAUCUGGGAAGCGGUACCAGUUGAAUAAGCACCGGCUAACUCCGUGCCAGCAGCCGCGGUAAUACGGAGUGUGCAAGCGUUAUCCGGAUUCACUGGGUUUAAAGGGUGCGUAGGUGGACAGGUAAGUCAGUGGUGAAAUCUCUGGGCUUAACCCAGAAACUGCCGUUGAUACUAUCUGUCUUGAAUGUAGUGGAGGUGAGCGGAAUAUGUCAUGUAGCGGUGAAAUGCUUAGAUAUGACAUAGAACACCAAUUGCGAAGGCAGCUCGCUACACUACAUUGACACUGAGGCACGAAAGCGUGGGGAUCAAACAGGAUUAGAUACCCGUGUAGUC